Molecule: unclassified non-coding RNA, 610 nt
Filed under: Adelonema allenii
Lineage: Eukaryota; Viridiplantae; Streptophyta; Magnoliopsida; Alismatales; Araceae
Description: partial external transcribed spacer
Source: RNAcentral
ACGUGAGUGGUUUUGUAACCCGGCAUUUCGGCGUGCCCUGCUUCCGUGCAGCCGACUGCGAGUGCAAUGGGAUGCAUCGUUUGGUAAAUCCCUCCGUGUGGCUCCGUCCGACGUUGAGGGCAUAUUCGGUGGGUUGUAUCGCAUAACCAGGAUGCGGCAAGUCGGUGACCCUACAUUGAUUAACAUAUCGUUCCACUCUUUCCCUCCCCUCGGACGGGUGAGAAGUGGCCUCUGACGAGGUCCCGUGUGUCCCUGGCAGCUUGUUCGGCAGCACAUCGUCUGUCUGGCCAUCGGGACCAUUGUGUGCUUACGGAUGCAGUGAAUCGGGUGGGCUCGGGUUGGUCCCGCGUGGCUCCCGACCCUCGAACGGAUGCCAUUUGGUGUCUGCGCACGCCGCGAGUGGGCAGAUGAGUAAACGGAAGGUAUUUUGUGUUUGCGCACGCUGUGAGCGGGCAACUGAGGAAAUGGAAGGCUUUGGGUGUUUGCGCACGCCGUGAGCGGGCGAAGGAUGGAAUGGACUGCCCGCGUGCGUCCUCGUCUUGCCAUCUAGGUGGAGAGAUGGGCCGCCUGCGGGUGUCGUCUCGGAGGAGGGUUCGCUACCUGGUUGAUC